AUUGAACGCUGGCGGCAGGCCUAACACAUGCAAGUCGAACGCGUGGCGGACGGGUGAGUAAUGUCUGGGAAACUGCCUGAUGGAGGGGGCUAACUACUGGAAACGGUAGCUAAUACCGCAUACCAUCAGAUGUGCCCCGAUGGGAUUAGCUUGUUGGUGGGGUACCGGCUCACCAAGUCGACGAUCCCUAGCUGGUCUGAUAGGAUGACAAGCCACGCUGGAACUGGGAAAAGGGGCAGACGCCGACGGGAGGCAGCAGUGGGGAAUAUGGCACAAUGGGCGCGAGCCUGAUGCAGCCAUGCCGCGUGUAUGAAGAAGGCCGUCGGGUUGUAAAGUACUUUCAGCGGGGAGGCGUUACCCGCAGAAGAAGCACCGGCUAACUCCGUGCCAGCAGCCGCGGUAAUAC
RNAcentral lists this ribosomal RNA (406 nucleotides) under uncultured bacterium. Its description in RNAcentral is "partial 16S ribosomal RNA". It matches the Rfam family "Bacterial small subunit ribosomal RNA", at positions 29 to 526 of the family's 1533-position model. The record is from RNAcentral.